UACGUAGGGUGCAAGCGUUAAUCGGAAUUACUGGGCGUAAAGCGUGCGCAGGCGGUUGUGUAAGACAGAUGUGAAAUGCCCGGGCUUAACCUGGGAACUGCAUUUGUGACUGCACGGCUAGAGUUUGGCAGAGGGGGGUAGAAUUCCACGUGUAGCAGUGAAAUGCGUAGAUAUGUGGAGGAAUACCGAUGGCGAAGGCAGCCCCCUGGGUCAAGACUGACGCUCAUGCACGAAAGCGUGGGGAGCAAACAGG
Molecule: ribosomal RNA, 253 nt
Filed under: uncultured bacterium
Lineage: Bacteria
Description: partial 16S ribosomal RNA
Rfam family: Bacterial small subunit ribosomal RNA
Source: RNAcentral